Mya arenaria is the source of this 202-nucleotide long non-coding RNA. RefSeq lists it as uncharacterized. NCBI's taxonomy places the organism in Eukaryota, Metazoa, Mollusca, Bivalvia, Myida, Myidae. The record is from RefSeq and is a predicted model, not a curated record. The transcript has 3 exons.
GUUUAGUUCUCAUUGAUGUUCCAAUGGCUUUGUGGCAGGACUGGAUCAGUUAGAAAGUGCCCGACAGCCGCGUCUCCGACUCCCACCCCCUCCCGGCUCCCGAGCGUUUAUUGAGUAUUUCAUCUCAUUGAUGUCCCAAUGGCUUUAUGACAGGACUGCAGGAUUGGUAAGAGAGUGCCCGACAGCCGCUUCUCCAACCAUG